This 1466-nucleotide long non-coding RNA is filed under the name Vulpes vulpes (red fox). RNAcentral's name for it is "lncRNA (ENSVVUG00000024999.1)". Lineage: Eukaryota; Metazoa; Chordata; Mammalia; Carnivora; Canidae. The record is from RNAcentral.
CUAAUAUCUUAAAGAUAAUAAUUCACCCCAGGUAGUAUCUAUUCAAUGAUGUCCAGUCAAACUUGUAACAAAAUUAUGCAUGUCAGAGAACAAGCUGAGCCUAAAAUCUGAACAUAAAGUGAAUGAUUAAAAAAACAGACAAUAUUAAAAAUAAGAAAGAGGCGGAUUUAUCAUAUGAUAAUAUUUACUAAAAAGUUGUCGGAAGUUAACGGCACAGUGUGGGUGCAAAGUGGACAUGUAGACCACGCAAAGGAGGAAACACAACCCGUGAUGAGUGUGGUAGGACCAACUGGAUUUCCAUAUGGGAACUAAAGAAAUUCCUUUGGCAGGAAAAGCUGCUAUGAAACACCAGGAAUCACAAAUAGCCUUUAUUUGCCUGUGUUUUGUGGACAUUGGUGUGACUCGCUGCAGGUGCUGAGACGCUGCCUGAGGAGAGCUCGCUCAGACCCAGCUGCGGACCUCACCCGGCACAGGGCAGAUGCACCCGGUUCCCUUUCUAGAAGAUUCUGAGUCUGGAAUGCAUCUGCUCUGAGGGCUCAGGUGGGACACUGUGCACCUGUGUGAGAGGUGGUGCGCAUGGUGGUUCUCCACGCUGUGCCUCCCGGGGCAGAGAGGGAGACCAGAUCGCUUGUUUUCUGAUUUGAAAAACCAGCCUCCAGAAACCACCCCAUCGAUAAGAGGACAGAGCACCAGGGCGGAGUUUGGGUCUCCUUGAAGGAAUGCAAGGUGCGUUUCAGAAACAACCAGAAGCAGGAUGGUGGAAGGACCCCAGUACCUUUGCCUGCCCCUGCCCUGCUCCCCAACACUCAGGCUGAGCCAUGAAGCUCCUUGCUCAGAGGGAGCUGCAGCCCUACAGCCUCCUCCUCGCUGCCGCCUGGGAGACGGUCCCUGGGAGCCACCGUCCCUGGGUCCUGCCAGCAAAGACCAUGAGCUGCGGAGGACAGAUCAAGUCCCCCAGCGACUCCCUGGAGGGGGCCCGUGCCCCGAGGGGGCCCCCCAGCGGCCGUGUCCUCAUGGGUGUGGAAGGAGCAUAACCUAGAGGAGGGACGCCUUUGGAAAGCAUCCCCCGUGCCAGCCAAAGGGUUGAGAGGCAGCCCUUUCUUCUUAUUCCAACUGCUUCCCGGGAGGACGCCCAGCCUGCGGGGAUCUGCAAGGAUUGAGCGUUUGAAUUAUUUAAAGACGGAGCAGGGCCGGGAUGCGGGGAGGCAUCCUGCCGCAGAGACGCCGGGCCUCUUCCCUGUAGAGCUGCGGGGACGCCCCUGGCCGAAGAACCAAGCGCGUGUGUAGAGGCAUCUUGGUGGACUCGCCUGUCCCGUGGGGGGGGGGGGGGGCCCCNCACCCCCUGGGGAAGCCCUCCCCCUGGGCCCUGAGCCAGGCUGCUCCGAGGUGCCAGAUGUGCUCAGAGCUGUGGGUUCUCAUCCUGGCCCUAGUCCUUGGAGCCAGCGGACACCGGGGAAGCAGGUCAG